GCUUAGUUCGUGAUUAUGAUAGCAUGGUUAGCCUUCGCUUAGUCGGUUAGCUGUGUUGGAUUAGAGGUUAGAGUAGCUUCCUUUAUUGUGUUAAUCUGUGAUUGGAAGCAUAGUGAUUGAGUUAAUGACCAAUCGUUUUUAUUUUGUAUUUGAUUUCGUUUUUACAUUUGUGUUUGCUUUUGUGUUUGCAUCCGCAUUUUGAUUUAAUUCAUCUGCAGUCACAAACCUUUCACAAACCCCCC
This 242-nucleotide long non-coding RNA is filed under the name Vigna radiata. RNAcentral's name for it is "long non-coding RNA (VRAD_LNC012608)". The record is from RNAcentral. Lineage: Eukaryota; Viridiplantae; Streptophyta; Magnoliopsida; Fabales; Fabaceae.